This 1156-nucleotide ribosomal RNA is filed under the name Salinibacterium sp. SWN139. RNAcentral describes it as "partial 23S ribosomal RNA". It matches the Rfam family "Bacterial large subunit ribosomal RNA", at positions 1837 to 2925 of the family's 2925-position model. The record is from RNAcentral. Lineage: Bacteria; Bacillati; Actinomycetota; Actinomycetes; Micrococcales; Microbacteriaceae.
GAUGACGUAUACGGUGUGACACCUGCCCGGUGCCGGAAGGUUAAUUGAUGGGGUUAUCCUUAGGGAGAAGCUCUUGAUCGAAGCCCCGGUAAACGGCGGCCGUAACUAUAACGGUCCUAAGGUAGCGAAAUUCCUUGUCGGGUAAGUUCCGACCUGCACGAAUGGUGUAACCAUGGCCACGCUGUCUCCACCCGAGACUCAGUGAAAUUGAAAUCGCAGUGAAGAUGCUGUGUACCCGCGGCUAGACGGAAAGACCCCGUGAACCUUUACUACAGCUUGGCACUGAACAUUGAACCUACAUGUGUAGGAUAGGUGGGAGACUUUGAAGCAGCGACGCUAGUUGUUGUGGAGUCAACCUUGAAAUACCACCCUUGUAGUUUUGAUGUUCUAACGUUGGCCCCUGAAUCGGGGUUACGGACAGUGCCUGGUGGGUAGUUUGACUGGGGCGGUCUCCUCCUAAAGAGUAACGGAGGAGCACGAAGGUUGGCUAAGUACGGUCGGACAUCGUACGGUUAGUGUAAUGGUAGAAGCCAGCUUAACUGCGAGACAGACACGUCGAGCAGGUACGAAAGUAGGUCAUAGUGAUCCGGUGGUUCUGAAUGGAAGGGCCAUCGCUCAACGGAUAAAAGGUACUCCGGGGAUAACAGGCUGAUACCGCCCAAGAGUUCAUAUCGACGGCGGUGUUUGGCACCUCGAUGUCGGCNAGGCUGAUACCGCCCAAGAGUUCAUAUCGACGGCGGUGUUUGGCACCUCGAUGUCGGCUCAUCACAUCCUGGGGCUGAAGUCGGUCCCAAGGGUAUGGCUGUUCGCCAUUUAAAGUGGUACGCGAGCUGGGUUUAGAACGUCGUGAGACAGUUCGGUCCCUAUCUGCCGUGGGCGUUUGAGAAUUGAGAGGGGUUGCUCCUAGUACGAGAGGACCGGAGUGAACGAACCGCUGGUGUUCGGGUUGUCAUGCCAAUGGCAUUGCCCGGUAGCUACGUUCGGAACUGAUAAGCGCUGAAAGCAUCUAAGCGCGAAGCAGGCCUCGAGAUGAGUUCUCACUAGACUUUUAAAGUCUCUGAAGGGCCGUUGAAGACUACAACGUUGAUAGGCAAGAUGUGGAAGUGGUGUGAGCCAUUAAGCUAACUUGUACUAAUUACCCGUGAGGCUUAACCAU